CCUACGGGUGACUGCAGUGAGGAAUAUUGGUCAAUGGACGCAAGUCUGAACCAGCCAUGCCGCGUGCAGGAAGAAGGCUCUAUGCGUUGUAAACUGCUUUUGUAAGAGGGUAAAAGCAGAUACGCGAGUCUGUCUGAGAGUAUCGGACGAAUAAGGAUCGGCUAACUCCGUGCCAGCAGCCGCGGUAAUACGGAGGAUUCAAGCGUUAUCCGGAUUUAUUGGGUUUAAAGGGUGCGUAGGCGGGCGGUUAAGUUAGAGGUUAAAUCCCGGGGCUCAACUUCGGAAUGGCCUUUGAUACUGGUCGUCUAGAGAGUAGGAGCGGUAGGCGGAAUGUGUAGUGUAGCGGUGAAAUGCUUAGAGAUCACGCAGAACACCGAUUGCGAAGGCAGCAUACCAGGCGACUUCUGACGUUGAGGCACGAAAGCGUGGGGAGCAAACAGGAUUAGAUACCCGAGUAGUC
RNAcentral lists this ribosomal RNA (460 nucleotides) under uncultured bacterium. RNAcentral describes it as "partial 16S ribosomal RNA". It matches the Rfam family "Bacterial small subunit ribosomal RNA", at positions 338 to 795 of the family's 1533-position model. The record is from RNAcentral.